Molecule: non-coding RNA, 3466 nt
Organism: Nomia melanderi (Alkali bee)
Lineage: Eukaryota; Metazoa; Arthropoda; Insecta; Hymenoptera; Halictidae
Source: RefSeq, a predicted model, not a curated record
AACUGGGCUAGAGGGCCGGGAAAUCGUUCCUCCGGCAGCGAUUUGCUUUUAAGACGGGCGGUCUGUAUUCGUGCGGUUAAGCGAGUGUGCGAAACACUGGCGGAGAGUUACAUACGAGAGAAGUGGUGACAAAUACGAACCCAGUGAAUCGGGACAUGCGGAUUUUACAGUGCACUCCUCUAACCCUGAUGAUCUGGCUUCGGUAUGGUCAUAACCACGAAGUCGUAUCGAACGAUUUAAACGCCACGCAUAAGCUAUCUUUUUGAACACUGACGAAGUCAGCUCACUUCGUGUCUUCCUCCACGGUGCAGUUCCACUUGUAAAAGUGGCGUGCAGAUAGCACGCCGGGUAAACAGCAAUAGUAACAGCACCAACAGCACCGAGUGCCGUCAAUGGCCACGAUAAACGGCAUUACGCGUACGUUUCACGGGCCACAAGCGAGCCAAAAUCCCCGGCGUGGACUCGCCUAAUCGAAACGGAACUGGAACUGUCCGACCACCGUGCCCCGCUCGCAUACUACUAUCUAGCGGAGGUUUCUCUCUUUCUCCCUUUCUCGCUUGCUCGCUUGCUCGUUCUCGCGCUCCCUCUUUCCUUUCCUCUCUACUCCGCUCCUAUGUACGGCAAAUGAGCAACGCGCGAGAUUCCGAGAUGCGGCAAAAGGUGCAACCUCCACCUCCCCGCGACGCCACUACCGCCCUGCGAUCACAGCAGACAGAGAAGAGAAAGAGAGAAAUUUGGAGAGAGCGAGAGAGAAACACAGAGAGAUCGAGAGGCCUAUGAGAGGAAGUAGAGAGACAAAGAGAGGAAGAGAGAUGAGGAGACGGAGGAGGAAGAGAAAAGAGUGAGAGAGAGAGAGAAUGACAGGGAGAGGAAGAGGAGGGCAAACAGAGGUUGGCAAGUUGGUGGAGAGGGAUGGACGGCGUGUCAGUUAGAAAGAGAACUAGCUGACUGAGGGAGAGGUUUCGCAGAGGGAGGGUCAGGAGCGGUGAAGGGAGAGGAAAAGGGAGCCGGAGGGAGGCAUAUGAGACAUUCCUUCAGUGAACGGGUCGACCGAGUGUGAGUGCAAGCGAGCCGGUAAAAUCGAUGUGGCGAAGUGUGGCUCUGCCACUACGGUGUGCAAAGGGUGUGUUGUACCCUGUAUGUGAUCGGUGCUCUGCCUUGUGGCGUUAUUUUGUAGAUACAGAAAUAAGUAGUACGAUUCGUCGCAUUUGUCUCUAAACCGAUUCGUUCGGAGGAAUUAUGUGGAAUAUUUUACGCAUGACAGCAUUUUGAUGCCAAUGUCACAUUAUUUGUAUAGUCUUUAAUAUCACUGAACUUACAGUAUAUUUUGAACACAGUUCACGCAAUAAUUUCGACAUUAAGCUUCCGCUUAAAUUAUUUUUUCGUUUCUACGCCUACAAUUAUUAUACGUAGGUAUCAUUGCUCUUUCGUAUCACCAUCCUCUCCACUUUUUUCCAUGAGAAGUCAUCACGGUCAUUCAAAACACAUCGUCUAUCAAAUUUGUUACGAUACAAUAUUAUAUUUGAAUGAAUUAUGCUGAGACGUCAUGUUUCAAGAAACACUGAAUUCUUGUUAUUGGCAAUCAUUUGAAAGGGAAAAAACAAAUAUUCAUACAAUCCGAUUGUCGGCAUUUGAUCGGUAAUAUCGAAUUAAACAAGCUAACAAUAGUAAUAGGAAAAGUACAUACCCGGUGAGAAUACACGAGGUUGUCUAGGAGUAUGCUCGGAUUCGUUUGCAACACUAUUUUAAUUCGACGAAUCUUGUACUGAUUUGCACGAUCGUGUAAGGCAUCGUGUACAUAGGAUGGCACCUGCCUCAGAGUUGAACAUAGAGCGCCCUCGCAGUGGUUUCACUAGUUACGCUCCUGCAAUACGCCGUGCCGACGCGUGCUUCAGCCUGUGCGAGGGCGUAUUGGCGAGAUGUAGUUCCAGCGGAGGGGAUUGAAAGAACCAAACGUACGUACGAGAUGACGGCUCGACGGACGAACAUAACCGGUCGGGCGGGAGGGCAGGCGGGAGAGUAUGUCAGGUUUAGGUCGACCAGCAGAGCGUUUCUCAGUAGUCGCGUUUCCACACUCCGAUGGGGCGGUCGUAUCUUGCUUUCUUUGUCGUGUAAUUAGAUCGUGUGUUUUCUCCUUCGAUUUUAUAAUUCUUGACUAAAUACAGUCAUACCUAUUUAUAAUGCCGUCGAGCAUUAUUUAUUGUGCUGUUGCAUUAUUAUUUCGAGUUUGUGACUUGAAGCAGUUUCUGUGAAGAAUCAUGAUACUUGUGAUCGAAUAAUAAUAAGUUUCUUAAUAAUAUAUUUCUAAGAGAGUACCCAUGUAAAAUCCGGGAAGCUCGAGGGCCGAAGUAACGAACGUGCGGCUAUGUGAACUGUCUCACGAACGCGCUCAUGGAUACAGAAUACGACGAAAGUUGUUCAAUACCUAGGGGGACAUUAUGUGGUGGAACUUUUAUUUUUCCUGGUGUACACUCCAAGGUUAGGAAGAAGAAGAGGCAGAGCGGAUAUCUCAACGUCAACUGCGUAUGUAGGAAAACUCAAAAUGCACAGUGGAAAACUUCGGUCCCAAAAUAGCAAAACGUAGAAAAAUGAAAAGAGAAAAGCAUUUCCAGAAAACGAAUAAAAAAGAACACAAUAUAAAUUCAGAAAAAUCUACUGAUAGAUACGUGGUUUAUAAUGAACAUUAUAUUCAUUCAACAACAGAAGAAGAAUGGAUUCAUUGCAUGUAAUGGCAAGGGUGUGCCCAUGAAAAUUGAACCAGUGCGGAAAAGGAAAAUGAUACAUUCAUUUGUGAUUUUGUUUACAAAAUAAUAUAUAUUUUUAUGUUUAUUUACGUGAAUUAAUAAUUUUCAUUUAAUAGAAAUAAAGAAUUUGUAUUUUUAUAUGAUUCUAAUUCGGUGUUCUGUUUUAUCCUACCAUUUUAGCGAAGCGGAUAUUUCAAUACUUUUGAAAAAUUGUAUUUGCCUUCAUAACUAACUAUUCUUCUUAAGAACAUCUGUUAUUUCCUUAUAGCCUAAGGCGUAUUUAGGAUUUCCAAAAAAGCGUCUUUUCAUGCGUUUAUUGUUCCAGAUACUUUAUUAUUACGAUUUAAAGUAAAGCGUUCCAUUUUGCUUCACAUUUCCCUAUACGAUGUUCUUGUUAUGUUUUCAUCGACAUUAAUAUUACAUGCAUUAUGUUAAAGUACUUUCCAUAUUAUUACAUAAUACAGACAGUUUCUAAUAAGUAUUUUAAAUAUCUUUAUCCGGAGAUCAAAUAUUAGAGAAUAAUACAAUUCAAUUUUGACAUCAAAAUUCAAUUAUUUUCUACAAAGGACACUGUCACGCGCUGUCACCGUUCGGAUAACUUGCAACUUUACUUCUUCCUCACCUUUUUAGAUGAUUUUUAAAUAUCUUGUAGAAAUCGAUAUUUUGAGCAACUUUUCUUCUUACAAAAGUGUCGGACUAUUUUAGAUUUUGAGAUAUUCAUA